This 264-nucleotide long non-coding RNA is filed under the name Homo sapiens (human). Its description in RNAcentral is "non-protein coding lnc-C17orf58-8:3". Lineage: Eukaryota; Metazoa; Chordata; Mammalia; Primates; Hominidae. The record is from RNAcentral.
GUCAGACUCCGCCUCCCGAGACCACGCCUCGCCGAGUCCCGGAUGUGCUCCAGGAAGGGAUAGGGCAUCUUUCACCCUGAAGUCACGGGAACAACGCUGAGGGGCAGCCAGAGAUUAUGUGGGCUUUUCCAUGGGAAGAACCACUCUACGUUAUCACCUUCUACAUAAGACAAAGGCUCGCUCUAUCGCCCAGGCUGGAGUGUGGUUGGCCCUGCAGACAGCUAUGAUUCUCUAGUUAACCUAUUUGGAUUGAAUCAAUUAAAC